Molecule: ribosomal RNA, 275 nt
Filed under: uncultured bacterium
Lineage: Bacteria
Description: partial 16S ribosomal RNA
Rfam family: Bacterial small subunit ribosomal RNA
Source: RNAcentral
CCUACGGGUGGCUGCAGUAGGGAAUAUUGGGCAAUGGAGGGAACUCUGACCCAGCCAUUCCGCGUGAAGGAAGAAGGGCCUCUGGCUUGUAAACUUCUUUUGUAUGGGGAUAAGAUAUUGUAUGGGAUAUGAUAUUUGCAGGUACCAUAAGAAUAAGCACCGGCUAACUACGUGCCAGCAGCCGCGGUAAUACGUAGGGUGCAAGCGUUGUCCGGAAUUACUGGGUUUAAAGGGUGCGUAGGCGGGUUAAUAAGUCAUAGGUGAAAGGUUGUAGC